Molecule: ribosomal RNA, 429 nt
Filed under: uncultured bacterium
Lineage: Bacteria
Description: partial 16S ribosomal RNA
Rfam family: Bacterial small subunit ribosomal RNA
Source: RNAcentral
CCUACGGGUGGCUGCAGUCGAGAAUCUUCGGCAAUGAGCGCAAGCUUGACCGAGCGACGCCGCGUGCGGGAUGAAGGCCUUCGGGUUGUAAACCGCUUUCGGUUGGGAGGCCUAUCUUCGGAAGAAGGACGGGCUAAGUACGUGCCAGCAGCCGCGGUAAUACGUACCGUCCAAACGUUAUUCGGAUUCAUUGGGCUUAAAGGGUAUGUAGGCGGCGCUGUCAGUCGGGUGUGAAAUCCCUCGGCUCAACCGAGGAACUGCGCCCGAUACUGCAGCGCUUGAGGGAGACAGAGGUAAGCGGAACUGAUGGUGGAGCGGUGAAAUGCGUUGAUAUCAUCAGGAACACCGGUGGCGAAAGCGGCUUACUGGUCCUUCUGACGCUGAGAUACGAAAGCUAGGGGAGGAACGGGAUUAGAUACCCUUGUAGUC